GAGCCCUGCCCUCGUGAUUUGUAAGGCCGGCUUGCGGCGAGGUAAAAGAAACGCGCUAAAGAGGCUCUGACACGGCAUUU
RNAcentral lists this non-coding RNA (80 nucleotides) under Acetobacter pasteurianus. Lineage: Bacteria; Pseudomonadati; Pseudomonadota; Alphaproteobacteria; Acetobacterales; Acetobacteraceae. RNAcentral also lists the same sequence under 2 other names. The record is from RNAcentral.